AUACUUUCCGAUAUUUUACCCUUAGAGUUUACAAAACGAAGGAGCGCAAUUUCGAGGAGUUAUAUGCGAGCACUCGGGCGCUCGAGCACUCAAUACCUUCAACAGCUAGAGUGCGUGCAGCAUUCUUGGCAGAUACGGUGGAACCGAUUUUUGGUAGCUUUACAGACAGCCCCUGACCAAAGCCAAAGCCAGCGCCAGCGCCAACUUAGCUUGAUCUGGGACGACAUGCAGCUGGAAGAGCGACUGUCAAUGUUCGUUGCAAAAUUUUCAAUGCAUGUGGAGGUGCAGUUUUCGCUGGCAUUGUUACGCUAACAAUCGGCACCCAGCAACACGCGCAGUAAUGGGCACAUAAAAAUUUACACGCGCGUUCAGAUCGUUUGUUGUUAUAAACCGUCUAUUACACAGGCAAACUCGCACAUACCAACACAAAUGCAUAGCGGCAUUUUAAUUUGGUUAUCCUUUUAAAAGCAAAGCGGAGCAUAAAUGUUAACAUUAAAUUAGGCUCAUCCAAACUAGCAAGAACACCAAAUUUUCGUAGUCGAAUGCAAGCGAUAUGAAAAUGCAAUGAAAUCGAAGGCACGAACCGGCGCGGUUCUUUGUUAACAGGGUGAUAAUAAAAACAGCUACGACCGGAAAUCACUGCGCCCCUGGUUAAACAGGAAACGUAUGAUCUGCAUAUGGUACGUUUGCGCCAAAAGGUAUGCAUCAGAAAAAUGCUCACUCAUUGAAAUGCUGCAGAAACCAAAAUUGUACAACUAAGGGCACUCGAUGAAUUUAGCAACACAAAUUAACCGACUUAUAAAUUAUGGAAACAGCAAAUAUAAUAAUAAAGAAGCGUCGGCAAAGCACCGACUACAUUUCUGUGUGAACGUUUAAUACCGGUUAGAGUAUUUGUAGUAUGUAAUGAAAUGAAGCUUUUUGUUGUAAAUUUAACACUUUCAUAGUUUGGGUUAUUAAGAAUUAGGGCGUCGGAAAAGUAAAUGCUCUAUCUAAUAUUGUAGAGUUUCCGUUCAUAUGUAUGUAUGUAUGUAUGUAUAUUAAUAUAACAUUUUUCACAUUCGUUUUUGUAGAUAAGCUUUGCACAUUUAGAUGUUGCGUUUGGAUUUUUUCGUGUUUUUUUUCCUUUAUU
This is a long non-coding RNA of Rhagoletis pomonella (apple maggot), 1129 nucleotides long. RefSeq lists it as uncharacterized. NCBI's taxonomy places the organism in Eukaryota, Metazoa, Arthropoda, Insecta, Diptera, Tephritidae. The record is from RefSeq and is a predicted model, not a curated record. The transcript has 3 exons.